This 1726-nucleotide long non-coding RNA is filed under the name Helianthus annuus (common sunflower). The record is from RNAcentral. Lineage: Eukaryota; Viridiplantae; Streptophyta; Magnoliopsida; Asterales; Asteraceae.
AUCCCUGCUUUUGUACAGCUUUUGUGACGUUUGAAUUUUGAAACAGGGUUUCAACAUCGAUUUGAGGAUUCGGCUCCAUCUUCUCUCUUUCUCAUGUAUAUUGAACGACUCAAUCUCCUCUCUUUCUCAGAACACCACCGACUUGAAGAUUACAUCUGGGAGAUAUGACAUCGAAUAAGUUCGUUCUUCCGAUUCAACAACCAUCAGUUUAUAGUGAAUCAAGUCUGCAAAGAUUGGUGGCUACGGAGAAGAGUUCCGAGCUGUAGAUGGUGAUUGAGGUAGGUUCCGACAAACAAACUGAGGAUUUAAUAAGGUGUGGCCGAUAUUUGAUUCUUUUCAAUCUUGUGAUUUUCGGAAGGUAAAUUGAAGCCACCAACGGGCUUGUAGCCUAGCAGUGUGCUGGUAUCAUGGUGCGCAGAUAAGUUGUUCCUCCCCUGCUUCAAUGGCUGAUGUAUCUGCUUUUCAUGCAACUUCAUUUCUUCCUGUAAAAAAGGCUGAGGCUAUAACAGAUCCAGAGAGAAGAGGGUUUCUAAAAAUGUAGAGAUAGGCGUAGAGAGGCCAUGUGGUGAAAUUUGGCUCAUGAAAUGACAACAGACUAUAGUGUUUAUGUAUGGACUGUGCUUUGCAUUGCUUUAUGGCGCUUUCUACCUUUUUAUUGAUUUCAACCAUUACUAUGGCACACAGGUUGAUGGAUUCAAGUUGAUUAAAAACUCAGGAUCCGUGUGCUGGUAUUUGUUGGAAACGGGUCAGGCUAUUCGUGAAGUGGUUGGGUAGUACAAAGAAAAUACAAAGAUUAUAGCGGAUACAUUUACUUCACUAGGUUUCAAAGUAUAUGGCGGAAUGCAUGCCCCAUAUGUGUGGGUCCAUUCCCUGGUCAAAAUUCGUGGGACGUCUUCAGUGAUAUUCUUGAGAAAAGUCAUGUUGUGACCACACUUGGGAGUGGGUUAGGACCUGCUGGUGAAGGGUUCGUUAGGGUCAGCGCCUUUCGCCCCAGGAGCAUCGUGUUGGAAGCCUGUAGGAGAUUCAAGGAGCUGAGAAAAUGAAUCCCUUUUCAUAUUAAAUUAAUUCUUCAAUCAACCUGCUUGUUUGUUGGAGGAACAAAUGGUCUGCCGUCUCCAAGUCGUGAUCACAGAAAACGCAAUUUUUUCGUCGAACCUGAAUAAUUCUUCUUUCUAAAGCUGCUGUUGUUGCAAUUCUGUCCAUCUCCGCCCCCCAGACAAAUAUAUUUACUUUAGAAGGGACCCAUUUGCACCACCACUCCCGGCUUGGGUGAGUCGGUCAUCAGAUGUUUGGCCGAACAGUAAUCAGUUUUUUUAAACACAACAAAAGUUGAGGGAUGAUCAAAAUGCUUAAAGAUUUUUUUCUUAAACUGUUCUAUUCCUGUUGUUUAGUGGUUUUAACCACUUGAGUCCAAAAUCAAAAGAGUUUAACGCUCCAAGUCCCUAACCGCUCAUUUUAUAACGUUUUAAGUCCGUGUGUUUUAGUGGUUUUAACCACUUGAGUCUAAAAUCCAAGUACAAGUGUUAAAAAAAUUGGACUCAAAACGUUAUGAAAUGAGUGGUUAGGGACCCAGGGCGUUAAACUUUUUGAUUUUGGAUUCAAAUGGUUAAAACCACUAAAACAUAGGGACUCAAAAAAUAAUUUACUCUUGAUUAUAUUUCAAGACUUUAGUGAUCUAUACACAUACCAUUCAUCUUUGCGUUUGGAGUUUUAUUGUGUUUUGCUU